CCCGACUGCUAUCGGAUUGGGAUUUAGCCAUGUUAGUUGUGCGUUCCUUGGCUACAGGGGACGCAGCAUACGGCUCAGUAACACGUAGUCAACCUGCCCUGGAGACGCGGACAAACCCGGGAAACUGGGGCCUAUCCGCGAUAGAUGACCUCAUCUGGAAGGAGAGGUCGUCCAAAAGGGUGCACGGGUAUGCUCUGUGCAAACCGCUCCAGGAUGGGACUGCGGCCGAUCAGGCUGUUGGCGGGGUAAUGGCCCACCAAACCUGUAACCGGUACGGGCUUUGAGAGAAGGAGCCCGGAGAUGGACACUGAGACAAGGGUCCAGGCCCUACGGGGCGCAUCAGGCGCGAAAACUUCGCAAUGCGCGAAAGCGUGACGAGGCUAGUCCGAGUGCUUCCUGCUAAAGGGAGCUUUUCUCGNGCUGUAAAUAGUNCCGGGGAAUAACGGGGAGGGCAAGUCUGGUGUCAC
Molecule: ribosomal RNA, 467 nt
Filed under: uncultured archaeon
Lineage: Archaea
Description: bacterial SSU rRNA
Rfam family: Archaeal small subunit ribosomal RNA
Source: RNAcentral